AGUAGUUUUUAAGUGAGGUGAAACUUGGGGGUACGCAAGACAAAUCAGACUCCUGAAAGGGGUACAGUAGUGUGGACAGGUUGAGAGCCGCUGUCUUAGAGGGAGGGAGG
Chelonoidis abingdonii (Abingdon island giant tortoise) is the source of this 110-nucleotide non-coding RNA. The record is from RefSeq and is a predicted model, not a curated record. Lineage: Eukaryota; Metazoa; Chordata; Testudines; Testudinidae.